UACAGAGGGUGCGAGCGUUAAUCGGAAUUACUGGGCGUAAAGCGCGCGUAGGCGGCUUUGCAAGUCGGGUGUGAAAUCCCCAGGCUUAACCUGGGAACUGCAUUCGAGACUGCAUUGCUAGAGUAUGGGAGAGGGAAGUGGAAUUUCCGGUGUAGCGGUGAAAUGCGUAGAUAUCGGAAGAAACAUCAGUGGCGAAAGCGACUUCCUGGACCAAUACCGACGCUCAUGUGCGAAAGCGUGGGGAGCAAACAGG
RNAcentral lists this ribosomal RNA (253 nucleotides) under uncultured bacterium. RNAcentral describes it as "partial 16S ribosomal RNA". It matches the Rfam family "Bacterial small subunit ribosomal RNA", at positions 524 to 776 of the family's 1533-position model. The record is from RNAcentral.